RNAcentral lists this ribosomal RNA (431 nucleotides) under uncultured bacterium. Its description in RNAcentral is "bacterial SSU rRNA". It matches the Rfam family "Bacterial small subunit ribosomal RNA", at positions 97 to 520 of the family's 1533-position model. The record is from RNAcentral.
GGCAAACGGGUGCGGAACACGUACAGAACCUACCUUUAACUGGGGCAUAGCCCGAAGAAAUUCGGAUUAACUCCCCAUAAAAUAUUUGAGAGGCAUCUUUUGGAUAUUAAAAAUUUAUUGGUUAAAGAUGGCUGUGCGUCCCAUUAGCUAGUUGGUAGGGUAACGGCCUACCAAGGCGACGAUGGGUAGCUGGUGUGAGAGCACGACCAGCCACACGGGGACUGAGACACGGUCCCGACUCCAUACGGGAGGCAGCAGUGGGGAAUUUUCCGCAAUGGGCGAAAGCCUGACGGAGUGACGCCGCGUGUGGGACGAAGCCUUCGGGUCGUAAACCACUGUCAGUGGGAAAGAUGGGUGCCGGCGCGAUAACCGCCGGUAUCUGACGGUACCUGCGGAGGAAGCCCCGGCCAACUCUGUGCCAGCAGCCGCGG